Molecule: ribosomal RNA, 763 nt
Filed under: uncultured Streptococcus sp.
Lineage: Bacteria; Bacillati; Bacillota; Bacilli; Lactobacillales; Streptococcaceae
Description: bacterial SSU rRNA
Rfam family: Bacterial small subunit ribosomal RNA
Source: RNAcentral
GGCGAACGCUGGCGGCGUGCCUAAUACAUGCAAGUAGAACGCUGAAGGAGGAGCUUGCUUCUUCGGAUGAGUUGCGAACGGGUGAGUAACGCGUAGGUAACCUGCCUGGUAGCGGGGGAUAACUAUUGGAAACGAUAGCUAAUACCGCAUAACAGUAGAUGUUGCAUGACAUUUGCUUAAAAGGUGCAAUUGCAUCACUACCAGAUGGACCUGCGUUGUAUUAGCUAGUUGGUGGGGUAACGGCUCACCAAGGCGACGAUACAUAGCCGACCUGAGAGGGUGAUCGGCCACACUGGGACUGAGACACGGCCCAGACUCCUACGGGAGGCAGCAGUAGGGAAUCUUCGGCAAUGGACGGAAGUCUGACCGAGCAACGCCGCGUGAGUGAAGAAGGUUUUCGGAUCGUAAAGCCCUGUUGUAAGAGAAGAACGAGUGUGAGAGUGGAAAGUUCACACUGUGACGGUAUCUUACCAGAAAGGGACGGCUAACUACGUGCCAGCAGCCGCGGUAAUACGUAGGUCUCGAGCGUUGUCCGGAUUUAUUGGGCGUAAAGCGAGCGCAGGCGGUUAGAUAAGUCUGAAGUUAAAGGCUGUGGCUUAACCAUAGUACGCUUUGGAAACUGUUUAACUUGAGUGCAAGAGGGGAGAGUGGAAUUCCAUGUGUAGCGGUGAAAUGCGUAGAUAUAUGGAGGAACACCGGUGGCGAAAGCGGCUCUCUGGCUUGUAACUGACGCUGAGGCUCGAAAGCGUGGGGAGCAAACAGG